Molecule: long non-coding RNA, 2325 nt
Organism: Syngnathoides biaculeatus (alligator pipefish)
Lineage: Eukaryota; Metazoa; Chordata; Actinopteri; Syngnathiformes; Syngnathidae
Exons: 3
Source: RefSeq, a predicted model, not a curated record
UUUUCCGACUUAGGACUAUGGCCUCAUGUUUGGUGGUGCUGAUUUUCACCCCAGCUGCUUCGCACUCGACUGCAAACUGCUCCAGUGAGAGUUGGAGAUCACAGCUUAUCAAAACUAUCACAACCACUUUAUAUGCAAAAAGCAGCAACAUGAUACUGAUGUCACCAAAGUGGACUGCCACAACACCUCACCUGCGCCUAAAAAUUCUAUCUAUAAAGGUAAUGAACAGAAUCUGUGACAAAGGGCAGCCUUGGCUGAGUCCAACUUUUGCUGGAAAGGAAUCCAAUUUACUGCUGGCCAUGCAAAAACCCCAAAACCGGUUGUUCACGGAUGAUACAGAAACGAACAGUCUGGAUCUGGUGGUCCGAUACACAGUACUCCCAUCCACCACUAGACUCCUCAAGGGAAAUGGUCGAACCCCUUUUUCAAGGCCACAAAACGCAUGUAGACUGUUUGACCGAACUCCCAUGCACUGUCAAGGAUACUGCCAAGAGUUUAGGGCUGGUUCUCUGUAGCGUGGCCUGGACGAAAGCCAGACUGCUCCUCCUAAAUCUGCGAUUUGACUUCCUGAUGGACCCUCCCAUCCAGAAACCCAGGGAGGCCUAGGAAUGUCAUCCCCUAUAGUUGGAACACAACCUCCAGUCUCUUUUGUUAAAAAGGGGAACCACCACCCUGAGCUGCCAUUCCAAAGGCACUCUCCCUGAUGUCCAUACAAUGUUCCAGAGAUGUGUCAACCAGGACAACCCCACAAAAUCUAAAGGCUUUUGGAACUCAGAGCACUUUUCAUCCACCCCUGUGGCACUGCUACCGGGGAGCUUUUUAAUCACCUCGGUGACCUCAACCGUGGAGAUAGAAGAAUCUAUCUUAGAGUCUCCAGACUCCGCUUCGACAUGGGAAGGUGUAUUGGUGGAAUUGAAGAGUUCUUCAAAGUAUUCGGAACACUGAUUCACAAUGUUCCGAACUGAGAUCCGAGGCGCAUCGUCCUCAUUAUAUAUUAUGUGUUGACGCUGCAGUGCUUCACCCUUCUAAGAGACUGGAUUGUGGACCAGAAUUUCUUCAUAGCCGUCUGCAGAUCGUUGUUCAUUGGCUCAUCGAACUCCUCCCACACCCAAGUUUUUGGUGUGCUCCGCUUGGCCAGUCUGUAUCCAUCAGCCGCCUCUUGAGUCUCAAAGCUCUUCACGGCAUCCCUUACUGCUGGUGUCCAUCAGUGGGUUCUUGUGGACUGCUGCCAUGACAGGCACCGAGAAGUUUUCGGCCGCAGCGCUGGUCGGGCACCUCAACAAUGGAGACGUGGAACAUGAGAAUGUCGGGAGGAGGAACAGUCACCUCCGCAUCGGCAGCACCACAACACCACCCACCCUUGUAGCAAUGUUUUCAUAUACAACUAAUAAACAGAUCAAUGUAUCCCCGGCUUUCAUCCUGUUGGGUGCGCUCUUUCUCCAUGACUGUGUGGUGGUCCAGUCAGUACUGUAAAGCAGAUCCUGAAAGAUUUUGUCAUCACCAAUGUUGGGUUCUUCAGCACUUCAUGACAGAAGUGUUUCAAUCAUGCGAGAUUGCAAGGAUGUUUGGGACUGAGAAUGGGUUUUAUUCUCAUAGGAAUUUACCAAAUAAGUGUUUUCAAAUAAGCAUCUGACCUUCUGUCCUCAUCCCGUCCUGUCUAAGUAAACCAGAAAGAAUCCUUGACUUGUGACAAGUGGAACUGCACCUAACCUUUGCAUGUUGUGUGCUUUCCUAGACUAUCACAAUAGAGAUCCAGAGCAGCAAUCAGGUCUACAUGGAGCUGGAAUCUGGGAGGAAACUAUGUAUACAUCUCCAGUUGAACCUUUACUGGUUACAUUCUGUGUCCCUCAUAUGAGAUUAUUUUUCUGUUCAAUCUUAAGAAAAACAAGAGUUGCCUCUCUGAGGUGGAUAUACGUACAUUUUUGCAAUUUUAUAUGUAAGCAUUUACAUUUUGUUGUUGUUGUUUGUUGGAAUGUCUGCAAAACCAAUUUGUGCAAUCAGUAAACACAACACAGGACAGCUUGGUUCAAAGUGUGUGUGUACCAUUACAUUUGGAAAAAUUUAUUCUUGGUAAAAUUUGCUUUCUAGUCCUAAAGUGGUACUUUGGCGUCAUCUUGUGGCAUCUCGAAGAAACUAACUGCGCCACAAGGAUCAAUAAAGACCUCUGAGUUUGAUUGUGAAUUAUCCAAACCUUUUUAGAGGGUAUAUACACACUAGAGUAUCUUGAAGCAGAAAAAAAACUGUCCCAACACUUGUCCUUUGCCUUAUCUCUGUUCUAUCAUCUAUGGUAGGUUUGCACGAUAGACCUGAAUAAAUAUGAACUGU